This 219-nucleotide long non-coding RNA is filed under the name Malus domestica (apple). RNAcentral's name for it is "long non-coding RNA (MDOM_LNC000113)". Lineage: Eukaryota; Viridiplantae; Streptophyta; Magnoliopsida; Rosales; Rosaceae. The record is from RNAcentral.
UUGGACUAUAGUUUAUUUUGAAUAAACACAAGUCCGAAUACUUUGCAAAAGGUUUCAAAUAAUUCAAGAAAUGUAAGUUGAUGAGUAAGACGUUUAAAGUAUUUACCUCCUUAGAUUUGAUCCAAGGAAAGGUAACACUUUAGAAUAGUUUCCUUGAAAGAUAUCAAGGAAAGAAGCAUCAUAAGAUAAUGGAUUUCUCCAUUAGGAGAAGAACGAACU